AUUGAACGCUGGCGGCAGGCCUAACACAUGCAAGUCGAGCGGAUGAAGGGAGUUUGCUCCUGGAUUCAGCGGCGGACGGGUGAGUAAUGCCUAGGAAUCUGCCUGGUAGUGGGGGAUAACGUCCGGAAACGGGCGCUAAUACCGCAUACGUCCUGAGGGAGAAAGUGGGGGAUCUUCGGACCUCACGCUAUCAGAUGAGCCUAGGUCGGAUUAGCUAGUUGGUGGGGUAAAGGCCCACCAAGGCGACGAUCCGUAACUGGUCUGAGAGGAUGAUCAGUCACACUGGAACUGAGACACGGUCCAGACUCCUACGGGAGGCAGCAGUGGGGAAUAUUGGACAAUGGGCGAAAGCCUGAUCCAGCCAUGCCGCGUGUGUGAAGAAGGUCUUCGGAUUGUAAAGCACUUUAAGUUGGGAGGAAGGGCAGUAAGUUAAUACCUUGCUGUUUUGACGUUACCAACAGAAUAAGCACCGGCUAACUUCGUG
This 484-nucleotide ribosomal RNA is filed under the name uncultured bacterium. RNAcentral describes it as "partial 16S ribosomal RNA". It matches the Rfam family "Bacterial small subunit ribosomal RNA", at positions 30 to 507 of the family's 1533-position model. The record is from RNAcentral.